RNAcentral lists this ribosomal RNA (497 nucleotides) under uncultured bacterium. RNAcentral's name for it is "partial 16S ribosomal RNA". It matches the Rfam family "Bacterial small subunit ribosomal RNA", at positions 28 to 507 of the family's 1533-position model. The record is from RNAcentral.
GAUGAACGCUGGCGGCGUGCCUAAUACAUGCAAGUCGAGCGAACGGACGAGAAGCUUGCUUUUCUGAUGUUAGCGACGGACGGGUGAGUAACACGUGGAUACCCUACCUAUAAGACUGGGAUAACUUCGGGAAACCGGCGCUAAUACCGGAUAAUAUUUUGAACCGCAUGGUUCAAAAGUGAAAGACGGUCUUGCUGUCACUUAUAGAUGGAUCCGCGCUGCAUUAGCUAGUUGGUAAGGUCACGGCUUACCAAGGCAACGAUGCGUAGCCGACCGGAGGGGGUGAUCGGCCACACGGGAAGUGAGACACGGUCCAGACUCCUGCGGGAGGCAGCAGUAGGGAAUCUUCCGCAAUGGGCGAAAGCCUGACGGAACAACGCGGCGCGAGAGAUGAAGGUCUUCGGAGCGUAAAACUCUGUUAUGAGGGAAGAACAUAUGUGGAAGGAACUGUGCACAUCUUGACGGUACCUAAUCAGAAAGCCACGGCUAACUACGUG